RNAcentral lists this ribosomal RNA (461 nucleotides) under Actinomyces sp. oral taxon 180. RNAcentral describes it as "bacterial SSU rRNA". It matches the Rfam family "Bacterial small subunit ribosomal RNA", at positions 28 to 484 of the family's 1533-position model. Lineage: Bacteria; Bacillati; Actinomycetota; Actinomycetes; Actinomycetales; Actinomycetaceae. The record is from RNAcentral.
GACGAACGCUGGCGGCGUGCUUAACACAUGCAAGUCGAACGCUGAAGCCUGGCUUUUGUUGGGUGGAUGAGUGGCGAACGGGUGAGUAACACGUGAGUAACCUGCCCCCUUCUUUGGGAUAACGCCCGGAAACGGGUGCUAAUACUGGAUAUUCACUGGUCUUCGCAUGGGGGUUGGUGGAAAGGGUUUUCUGGUGGGGGAUGGGCUCGCGGCCUAUCAGCUUGUUGGUGGGGUGAUGGCCUACCAAGGCUUUGACGGGUAGCCGGCCUGAGAGGGUGACCGGUCACAUUGGGACUGAGAUACGGCCCAGACUCCUACGGGAGGCAGCAGUGGGGAAUAUUGCACAAUGGGCGCAAGCCUGAUGCAGCGACGCCGCGUGAGGGAUGGAGGCCUUCGGGUUGUGAACCUCUUUCGCUCAUGGUCAAGCCGCAAACUGUGGGUUGUGGAGAGGGUAAGUGGAA